Molecule: RNA transcript, 12506 nt
Organism: Rhea pennata
Lineage: Eukaryota; Metazoa; Chordata; Aves; Rheiformes; Rheidae
Gene: CMTM7
Gene name: CKLF like MARVEL transmembrane domain containing 7
Exons: 6
Source: RefSeq, a predicted model, not a curated record
GCGCGUCCCGUCGCGGGUAGGGCAGUUCAGGGCCGGGCAGCGCGGGAGGCAGCGGGGCGCCAUGUCGCACGGGGCGCGCGUGAUCCGCACCGGGGCCAGCAGCGGGGGGCCGCCGCCGCCGCCCGCCGCCGCCGCCGCCUCCUCCGCCUCGCAGAGCACGGAGCUCACGGACGGCGCCUAUUUCCGCUCCUGCGCCGGCAUGCUGAAGGUGGCCCAGAUGAUCUCACUGCUAGUUGGAUUCAUCAGUGUACAUAAUUCUCAGUGGACUGACUACAGUGCAUACAGCUACUUUCAGAUUGUCACCAUGUGCGACUUGGUUAUGAUUUUGUUCUUCUACAUUGUCCACAUUUUCAGAAUCUACAAGCUGCUCACUUGCAUUAGCUGGCCACUUGCGGAAUUUCUUCAUUAUUUAAUUGGUACAAUUCUGCUUCUCAUUGCAUCAAUUGUAGCAGCAUCCAAGAGUUACAAUUUGACUGGACUUGUGGCUGGAGCGACUUUCGGAUUCCUAGCUACGGUUCUUUGUGUUUUAAGUAUAUGGUCAUCCUACAAAAUUUCAUGCAUCACACAGUCAACAGAUGCAGCUGUAUGACUCUCUUCAUCUCAGCAAGACGUCUGUGCCUUACCCAAUAGGAUACCAAAGAGGAGAAUCCACCACUGAGGAGAGAGCGUACACAUGACUCAUGCUGCAGAAAAAUGUGCUUGUGCUGUCACCUCCUUGUGAAGCCCUGACUCACCCCAGGACUCGCCAACUUCAGAACAACCACAUCUGUUUAUUUUCCUAGUCCUGUUCUAAUAUUCAGCCAAAAGAUAAUAAGUGAUAAGAAACAAACUGAGUGAGUGAUCAGGACAUGCUGGCUGGCCCAAGCAAAUUUCUCUAGUGUGCAAAAAGCCCUGUCUGGCAUUCAUUAAAGCAGUGUUUGCCAAUGUUUUUUUUGUGGACUCUGAUUUUUUCCAGCACGAAUUAUUUGCAUUUUUGCCAAUAGGCUUCUCUCAUUUAGCUUACACAGAGUCCAGGAAGUACACAGGUACUGCCCACUCCUUUCUUCUCCCACCCCUCCUACCCCUGAGCCAUAGACCAUUGCCUGAAAACCACAGCAUGGUACAGACCACAAAAUCUUCAGAACUGCAAUACAGGCUUACAGGUGCAGGUGUCAUCAGGCAGCUGAAGCUUGGAUUUGUAAUAAAAAUGAAUUAAAAACAUCUCUAGCCUAGUUACAAAAUAAAACAGGAAAAAGUAAACUUUACCUAAGCAGUCUGGAAAGGCAAAGUACCUCUUUGAGACAAUAUUGAUCUGAUUGUUAUCAAAACUUCUUCAGGCUACAUUUUGAAAAAUGAGCAUGUGAUUGAAGACAAGACCACUAAAAUACACAGUGCAAUUUACUGCUACAGAAAAGAAGAGGGCAGUGGGGCUCCAACUCCAGCGAGCGUACAGGUUUAGGAGGGACAAGGCUUCGAGGCUGAACCUGUUCAAUUACAGGAUCAUCUUUGCCCUCUUGUGGGCAAACUUCUCUACUGCAGCUUUUGCACAGAUUUACCGGCGUCACACGUGAACAACUGUGCAGCGCGGCAGCGCAAGCAGAACGCAGAACCAUUGCCGGCCUCCCCUGCACUUCCGCUAGCAGGCAAAGACCGGCUCUGCCGCGUUCAAAGGGAAGCCAAAACCAAAACACAGCCAAGGAGUUAUCCUUGCUCGGUCCCUGCGCUACAGGAUGAAGGGGGCUAUAGGAUAAAGCUGCCAGCAAAAGUCCCCCGCAGAGCAAAGGAACACGGAUGCGCGUGCAACAAGCCACGCACAGACGGCAGCGACCAGGUGCUGCCUGUGCACGUGCAAAGGAGAGCAGCGGGCCACAACCUGUAUUUUACCCUGCUACACUAUUCUGUUACUUCAAUACAGAGGUUAAUUUGGAUUACCCUGCUAAGAAAGAAGUUGUCACGAUCAUAGCAAUAACAGGACUGAAACUAUGCUAUGUGAUCAUGAUCCAAAUUAUUAAGUAUCACCUUUCUUAGGACUUCUGAGUUAUUUUCUCAUGCUCUAUAGAUCUACCAUGGAUGUACACUUCUAUUGCAAUAUUUUGCCUUCUUCACUUACAACUGUUUUUUUUAUUUAAUUUAAAACAUUAGAGGCAUUUUUGCCUCAAUUCUUACAACUAUACUUAUCUAUGGCAAAUCCAUUAAGGACAGAAUUUCACCUUUAAUGUUACGAUGCAAAUAAAAAUAUACUGUGUCAUUCCAAUUUCAGGGCAGACAAUGAAAAAAGUGUCAUUUAUACCAUCCAAGAUAAUGGGACCUACCAAUCAAAAGAUCAGCAAGAAAUAAGAAUUAUGAAAUAAAGAAGCUACCCAGCCAGAGAGCAUUUGGGUUUAUUUCCUUCUCUCCGCCCCAGCGAACAAACAUUUUUAAAGGACCCAGUGGCUCGCCCUCAACCAAGUAAAAUCAAAAGAAAUUAUUUGCUCUUGACACCUUUUCAUGGUUUGUGCUCCUUCCUCUAACAAGUCUGCCAUUUUAUUAAUUUUUUUUUCAAUUCUAAUAACCCAGACAAUAGCAAACCAGCACUUGAAUUACACUUGUCACAGUAACUAUAGACCAUGGUAGGCGUAAAGUCUUAUCACAAACUAAUUAGACUGAACUCUGUGGUAUGCAGCAAUACUGACCUUACUGGACCGUUCCUCAUUGAAACGUCCAGGGAGAAAAUCCAGCUUUGCAGAUCUGCAAGUGGGUCCCGAUUCCCUAGUAACAGGCAAAACACAACGCAAGCUCUUUCCUCCACACCAGGAACCCAGAAUGACGUUAUUUCCUGCGUUUUGCUUUUGGAGAACGAUAUAGCGACACCAAAUCAUUAGCAGCAGAGAUGAGAAACACUCCGAGUUAUUUACUAAUAUUUUAUUUAAAAAAUGAUUACAAAGUAUUUUAGAAAGUUCUUACGACCAGAAAGGCAUAAUACAUUAAAAAGACCACAGGUUUAGAAUGGAAAAAUAUUUAAGUAUUUCAGAAUGCUUUUACUGAAAAGUCAAGGCAACAUUGGUUACAUAACUAUAUAAAGUUUUUAUUUCAUAAUAUAUAACCAUUGUAUUUUCAUUCUGAUUCAAUAAUCUUUAAAAGACAUUUAAAGCCUCACAAGUACGAAAGUGACAUUAAAUUUUAUGCUGUUCAGUACUAUCUAGAUAUCUGCUACAUAUUUACAGCAAGGAACUAAAACAAAGAUGAAUUUCCAUCUUAAAGGCACUACCAGCAUCUUGAUUCAUUAUUACAAUUUUACAUAACCUUUUAAGAAUCACACAAAAUAUUUCCCUUCAGUGUAGAAAACUUGGUACUUUCACUGCACGAAUUUGAACAGAACCAGGAUUGCCAUCACGGCUAUUAUGCAAAAACAUCUUGUGCAGAGCUCUGAGAAUUGUGUGAGAUAAUUCACUGCAUUUCUGAGUUGGAAGGUGCAAUGGUAGAACUGAAUUGUAAAGACUACAUACAACCCUCCCCUGCUAUUUUUAAGAACAGAGUACAACCAGUGAGGCACAAUUCCUCUACAUAUUUAAAAUCUAAAGGAUACUGCUACUAUCGUGAUUUCAACGUGGGCUAAACAUAGAAAACAAAAUCGCAUUCAUGAUCUACACAACACAUGUAGAUUUUUCAGAGCAGAAACUCAAGCCAGUCCUUGCACGGCCUGAAGUCUGAAAAGCCCGAAAGUCAGUGCAAUCUUCAAGUAUUUUUCAAAAGACUCAGCAGGAAAAGAAGCCUUUUACUGUGUCUGCACAGGCUCAUACCACCACCAACCACCGUGGUGAAGAAGGGAGAAGGCAAGCCACAGGUAGACUUCCUGUGCCAAAUUGCUUCCUUCCAUGGGUUUUACUGCUGGUUAAGAUUGUGCAUAGGUGUUUACUUGCAAACAAAAGGCGAAAUUUAAGAGAGGGUUGUUCAUUACUGCCCCUCUGCCAGAGCUCCCACCACUCUCUUGAACAAACCCUAAUCCAUUUCAGUCACAGCCAGCCAAGAUAACUUAAGCAAUUUAAAUAGCUGGUUUAAAUAAAGCCAAUUUCAUUGAAAACAGGUAGGGAAACAGGGACUUCUUUGCUGACAGAGCAAGAGAUGUCUAUCCACAUGUGCAGAGCUCCUGUAAAACCAGAUGUUUAAUCCAGCUCCCACUCCACCCUCUGGGAUCAGUCUAAUUAAAAGACAGACAUUCAAAGCCUGGAUCUGACAUCUGAAGCACCAAAGGGGCAUUUCUAGUGGUGGGAGACAACCCUGCUCAGCCGUUGCACUUGCCCGACCUAGCACGUGAGGGCAGAGGAGCUCGGGGGGGCACACACCUGCCCUUUCAUCUUAGGAAGCUGAUAAAGCAGGUAAGGGAACUGCCUCCCGGAAGCAGAGAACAGCACGCGUACCAGGAGACCUGCUCCUCAAGGGUUUUUAAAUGAAAGUCCUCACACUCAUAAGCCUGGUAUUAACAGUGCCACCAUACAGAAACUGCUUUGUUAGCCACCAAUUGCUUUGAUGGCAACUAGUUAGCAAUUACCUUAUACCUAUAACCAACAUGGGGCUGGUCUGGCUAAUAGCAUUUAACUGCUGCAUGACAGAUUAGUGCCAGCUAGACAGUAUCUAGGAUGCGGCACUGUUUAUUUAUUUAUUUGGUGGAAGGGGGAAUAGCAGGAGUCCUAUUGGCAAACCCCUUCUGCAUAUGGGAAAGCAGAAGUAACCAGUUUCCGAAAGACUAUCCAUGUCCCUUUCUUUAGGUGAUGGCAACGUUUGCAUCACUUUUGGUUACAGACUGAAUUUGAUCAUUACAUCUAUACUUGCAUCAGCUGGUCAGAGAAUGAGAAACUACUUGGAACAGUUAAAACUAAAAUGGACAACACAUCAAAAACCUCACCCUAAGAAACAACCAGAAACGAGUUCCAUGUCUGGAACAGGAGAACCCAUGAAACCAUUCUGCAAAGCCUGGCAGUACUUCCAUUGCAAAAGGCCUAGCACACAGAACACGGAGUCAGGAAAACUCAGUUAUAACCACUUCCCCCAACACCAACUCCUUGUGGCACCCUUUCAUAAAGUAACUUGUUCUGCAUUUCAGUUUCUUCACUUGUAAAGCAUCAGCAGUAGAUAUCACACAGACAGGGAGGCUAAGGCACAGAGAUGACUUUACAGAUCCCUUUCAAUACCAAUGAUUCAUGAAUGGAAACUGAAAACAGCACUUGGGUAGGGUGAAGUCUAUAGGAAAAUUACAGAGAACCGUAACUCUUCAUGCAUUUUCAAGAUGAUAAAAAUUAAAGUUCAAAGGAAAAAUUAACUGAGGGCAGAAGUCCUGCCUUCACGCUGCGUUGCUUAAUAAAUAUCAGCAGCACAGUCUUAUUGUUACAUUAUACUUACAGCUUUUAAUUACAUAUUAAAACCUAGAGCCUACAGCCAUUUUGAUAUGAACACAAAUCUAGUAGUAUCCUAGGCACUAAGCAGAAAAAAACCCUGAAAAUGUUAACCAUAGAUAUGGACACAAACCCAAAAGAAAGAAAUUAUAACUGUAACAGAGAUUUUUUCAUUUUGGGAAGUUCAUAUCACCAGCAACAUUGCUUGUAAACAAAACGUAUCUCUUAUCUACCUACAGUUUUCAGAGACAGCUAGAGCAAGCUCUGUACAGUUAGACCGAGAUCAGGUUUUAGUGCAAAUAGACACUAAUAAAUAAGAGAAAAUGCCAGUCCAAAGAAGAACUCUCUUCACAAAGCAAGAAAUUCCUUGAAGGAAAGUAAGUAUUUAUAGAUGGCUCUGAAACCAAGCUACAACUUAAACUUGAUGUUCCUCACAAACUGUCAAACUCAAAUCCCCAAGCAAAGUGUAGUGUUAGGAUUAAAGUCCCAGAGCAUAGAGAAAACGUCACAAACAUCAUCACGCUCAUCAGAAAGCAGCAGUACUGAAAAAAGGCUCUGACCUUCCUUUACAGUGCUUUGUAUUACAACUUCCUCAUCCUGUUCCAAAUAUAGCACGUUCAGCCAACUUCUGGAGGGCUUAGUCUCAGUGCUGCCACAAUAGGUUACAGGACUGUAAAUCUGUCAGAGUAUUGAUGAAAUGCAGUCAAUGCCUAGAAGGCAUGGCAAAUGUCAGGAGAACUCAGACAAGAACUGUUUUUGCAUAAUCAGACUUUUCUCAUUUGUGCUGGUAUUUUGGAACAUCCCUUGCUUUAUGGCAAUUGCCCUACUUUUCUGCUUUUCUCUAAAUGAAGUCUAGCAGUUUUGUUUCUCCCUCAGACAUCUAGAAAAGAUGUUUGCAUCACUUCCCUUCUUCUGUGGCCAUCAAGAUCUGGUCUGAACUCCAUCACUUGUUUGGUAUGUUGCAUCAGUAGUUUCUCUUGCAGCCUGCUGCUCUUCAGACAAGUCAAUGAUACAAGUGCUUAUUUAUUCAUCUGUUCACCAACUGACCUAGCUGGUAGCAAAAAGGCUCAAACCAGUGGCAUAUUUAUAGGUAAAAAAAGUGGUGGAGUACAUAACCAUUCUGGCAAAAUUCACUCUGGCAAAACUCACCAUUAACUAUGCAUAAACAAAAUGCAGUUAGGCUUAACCCUGAAAGUGAUAUUCACUAUCAGUGCUGAUGCGCUGCUAUGUUUUUCCCGCUGAUAUUUCAAAUUGUUACUUUUUAGGUUAACUUCUGAAAAUAUUUGUCCUUCAACCUCCUCCUCUCAGAGCGAGCUUAUCAAAGCUUUUCCUGCAGCUUUUCUUGCUUUUGAAACAAUCUGAAAGGAGAUUCUGGCAUACAAUUUUAAUCAUUAACAACCAUGAGAUGCAGAACUCUCUUUAAUAAAGCAUUAAACUAUCCCCUGUAAAAAAGCUACACUCAUCAUUUUAUUAAACUGAGUUCCACAGACAGAAUUGUACAGGAGUAGUAAAAAAAUAAAAAAUAAAAAAAAAAAAUAAAAACCCUUAUGUAAGAAUAAGCAUUUCUCUAAGGCUGCAAUUAGGUAUCCCUUUUACAUUCACAGUUUGAACAGUAAGUAGAAAAAAUGAACUCUGCUGUACUAAUUUACAAUUAGUAACAGAAGUAUCUGGUCCAUUUAUAUAGAAAAUAUCUUUAGGAUAUAACUCAGAAUUUAUGCACCAUAAAUUACCCUUUAUUAAUCAUUCCUACCAAAAUCAAAUCAUCACACACUACUGCCCUUACAUUACUCUAAUUAGACACAAAAUAUUUUAGUAUAUGCCACUUGGGCAGUUAUUAAGCAGGAUCAGUUACUCCAAAAUUAAACAGAACAUGAUGCCAAGCUGCCACUGGUAGACCUAUAAAAACUUGUGGUGAGCAAUGCUUACAAAACCAAUUAGAAGGAAGACAGAAGAAGUUAUUUACAGUGCACUGAAAUCUCAUUUCAGUUUGCUCAAUUAAAAAAAAUCGCAAAGUUUAGCUUUAUUUAUUCAGUGGCUGACUUUCUGUGGCAGUCUGUAUGUUGGCAGGAUUUUCAGAACGACUUUCUGUGUCUUGUUUCCGGCUAUCCAAAUAAUUCAUAAUCGCUUCAGCUACAAAUGCACCACUUGCAAGAAAUCCAAAUGUCUGUGAAAGUGAAAGAAACGUGUGAUUUAAAGUCUGUAAACACUAAUGGAAUUCAAACACUGGCUGGGGAAAUUUGCUGAAUUUUUAACAAUCCCAUGUAUUAAGUUUCCAGUCAUCCUUAAAUCAAUGAUUCCAUUUAAGUUAGAAACAGAUCAGAAAUCAUAAUUGCAGAACAUGUAUGCAAGAGUUUUUACAGUUCUCAUUCUUUCAAUCAAGUGUGACUCUUACAAUAUAGCCUGAACAGCCAUUAACAUUAGAAAUAUUAGUUUAAUUGCAAAAAAAUAGUUAUUAAAGUAGUGUGGAAUCAGUGGUAUAGCACAAAAUUUAUCCAAGAGAUACCUAAUGAAGAUGACUAACAUAUGGAAGGUGAAGGGAGAUAUGAUCCGCAGGGCCUAAGCAAGUCCUUACUGUGUGACCAAGUAGGGAUGAAAGGAUAUUUUGUUAGUGACAAAUUUCAGUAUUAGGCAUGGCAAGAUAGUGAUGAGGAGGCUAGGUUUUACUUCUUUACUUGCAAGAAGCUGUUAACACAUGCAUUUACAGUAACUUUUAAAUAAAUUUUAUAUAGCUGAUUUGCCCCAAAGCAAUUAUGUGCUAAAUUUUAAAUCAUGAGAGGUUUUCAUUUUUCCAGUUCCAGAUAAAAACUGAGAUUUUAUACUCAGGCCAUUAGAUUUGAAUAUAUCAAUGUUACAAAAGAUGACUAUACAGAAGUGUGCAACUUUAACUGUAAUAGCUCAUACUGAUUAAGGAAUAGAAUUCCUUUCAUUUCUUUACUUUUCAAACUCAUUUUUUCAUUCAAGAAUGUCAGAUUUGAUCUUUCAAACUCAUACAUUCACAAUUCCAAGGUUAUUCAAAAAAGUACCAUAAAAGUGAGGAAUUAUGACUUCCAUAGCACGCCAAGGCAUCUUCAGUGCCCUGCCUCGAGCCUCUUAGCAUUCUCUGGGAGAUGCAUGCAUAGUCACUCUUUAACACGCUGAGCUUUCCAGCAACAGUGAGGAAUGCCUGCUCUUUGAUAAGUUUCUAGAAGCUCUGAAAUAGCUAGGUCCUCCUGAAACAUCCAUCCCAUGCAACACCUUGAAUUUUGUUCCCUGCCCAGUUUCUUGCCUGCAGAUGUAGUGAGGUUUAAAGGCUACAGAAGUUAAGAGCAAGCUAAAUACCCAAUAAAUGAUAAAGUUUUUAUACUUACACAUGCAGCCUUUUCUAAAUCAGAUCCAGAACUGGUUGCAGCAAGCACUACUGAAGCUAAUAGAAAAAAGCCACCUAUGCCUGGCAUGGCCCAAAAAUUCUGCAAGUGUAAAAAGGGAGUGUCAAAGAAUUGUAGAUAUACUACCUGAUAAAGACAAACAUCAUAACAACAGCCAAGUUAAUCUGCCGGUGAAUUUGUACUUGGGAGCUUUGAUGCUAACAGCAGCUUCAGAAUUUUUUUCUUACUUACCGCAAGAAAGGCCCGGACCCAGAAAUACAGACACCAGAAUUAAACUGUAAAAUGUUAUGGUCUGUGUAACACGGCAAGAUAAAUCUCUUGUUCCUGCAGUUCCUUCUGCUCUGAAGGGACUACAUGAAACUUAACCAUAUCAAAGAAAAUGUAUCCCCUAGCAGGGAAAACACGUCUGCUGUUUCCAGCAGAGCCCAGUUACUUUCCUGAUUCCAUGCCCCAGCUUAAACAUCUCGUAUCUUACAGCAAACGACACAACAAAUUUGGAAAAGUCUGUAAUAUAAAAUGGAUGCUUAGAGUUGGGGGGAGGGUUAUUUAUCAUAUUAUUAUGUAAUAUAAUACAUAGAGAUAUAGUUUAUAUUAUAGUUAUUUGUUACCUACAAGGAACUUCACUUUCCUCUUUAAACACUAAGGAAAAAAUAUUCUUUCAACAUAGUCUUUUUAUUUCACAGUAGUCUUGCAUUUGCAUCAAAUAGUUUGUUUUAAAAAACCUUGUUUAUAAUAUUAAAAAUUAUAUUUUUUCCUUACCACUCUCUCUACUUUAUCUUUCCCAAAUGUUUCAUAUGCAGUAGUACAAUACACACACAGUAUGAGGAGGCUCAAAAGAAGUGCAGUGCAGCUUGUGAAUUCAAAGAAGUAAAGUCCACCACACUUGAUACAAUUCUCCACAAUUUCUUCACAAAUAACAGCCAGAAGAGAGAACAGCUGUAAACAAGUAACAUACCUGAAUUAGAUCAAGUCAUUAGUAUCUUCAGCAGAGAGACAUCUCUGAUAUUAACAUUAAUGAAAACAGCUAUAUGAAAAAUCCUCAAUCUAAAAAGAACCCUGUAUAAUUCUGUGCUAUUUUAUUACAGGCACAAAAAAUAUGUGGCAACACAAUUUACAUUUCCUGUUAAUCAAUAACCUACACUUGGGUAGGCUGAGUGUGCGCCACCAAAGCCAGGCUUGCUGACUGGCUAGUGAAGAUUCUUGAUCCCUGGUUCUGCAACUGCAGUUAGAAACCAGAGUGCAAGACAGCAGGGAGAGCAUGCAUUCCAGUCAGAACUGGCAAAAAUGCUACUUCUUACUACUUACACUUACAUUUAAUCUUAAGUGCUUAAAAAAAAAAAAAAAUCCCAGAAGAUACUGAUCCAAUCAACUACUUCCCUGAAAGUUUACUGCUGAUAUUACCUCCCUUGAAAAACUUCAGAGAAAGUAGAUAUAGCUACUUGCUCGUGUGCAUAUGACUCAGUAACAAAAGAAGCUUGGCUGCAUUUCUAGGAACCACGCUUUAGGUAGUUUUUAUGUUUAAACUAUGUUGGACAGUGUUUAAUCUACGUAGUUUAUGUUCACCUUCCCACAAUAUUUUCUGAGGAAAGGAUGAAAGUGAAUUCCUGAAUAGUCACUAUGGAUCUGCUGUUGUUGUUUUUUUUUUCUUUUUUUUACUAGUUUAUGGUACAUGAAAGCUGUGCUUUAUUUAAAUGUUCCCUCAUUUUGGCCACUUUGCUUGUUUCCUUCAUCCUGUAAAGUUGACACAGGCUAUAGAUCCUUGUAGUGAAGAGUUCACGAAACUACAAAACAAUUAUUGGGAAACAGACCUGAUCAUAAAAUCAAGAAUGACAUAAGGACAAUGAUCCUAUAAGCAUAUAUAUGCAAUAAAAAGGUCAACAGUGCUUCUUAAAAAAAAAAUCAAGCUCUACAAUUCAGAAUUGUCAUUUUCCAGUUACUGACAUGUAGAAGAAACUGCGGAUGCUUUAUCUGGGUCUUGCUCUUGGAAAAUGCCAAGCCUUUGGUUUCAGUUUUCUGUUAGUAUAAAUAAGAAAAACAAUUUGACACGUGGGAACUGUAAGUUCCCCCACUAAGUCAGACCUCAGCAGGACUGUUCAAAACAUCAUGUUUUGAAUAUGCAACUAUAUAAAAGUAAACAGGAGCUCAGAAAGGGAAAGAACACACAAGUUGUGAAACUGAAAUAUUACAGUUAGGCUUCAGCAUACUUCCUUUUUCUCAUGCAGUUGCUGGUAAGGCAUUUCUCAGGAACCCUCACACCUAUUUCAGUCAUUAUAAUGGAUGCCCAAGGAAUAUUUUCAACUCUGAAUUUCCAAUUUUUAAGUGAGGCGUUUUCUUAAUUUCAAAGUAUUUGAUUACAGCUGUGUCCAAUCAUCUUUUAUUUCAUUGGCACAAGGUCAGCUAGAACAUAUGUUUAUAUAUAUAUAUGUAUGUAUGCAUGUAUGUAUAAAAAUUACAGCUCUUUUUAUCAGCAUUGAAAACUGAAUGUUAUAACUUUAAUCAGAGACAAAACAGAACAGAAAAGAAAUAAGGGCCUUUUUGGAAAUAUGCCUGUAACAGAAUUAGAAGCACAGAUAACCAUAACAUGAUCUAAAUGACUGAGAAAAAGCCUCUCAGCUGACUGUACAACUACAUGGGGAAAAAAAAUCAUACUCAAAGAAUAGUUAUUAAAGGUUCAGUAUCAAGUGGAGUCCUAUAUGGGACAUCAACAGCAUGUUCAUAUGCUGCCAUAGUUCUGGUUGGUUUCUUAAUUUGCUUCUUGGUAUCGCAAUAAAAAACAUUAAAGGGAUUACCCUCCUGUCCUACCACCAAAAAAAAAAAAAAAAAAAAAAAAAAAAGGCAUCAUUUUAGUUCCUGUUCAAAGUAGUUCCUGGCUCCCUCCCACCUGGCUGCAGAUGUCAUCCCAGCGCUGGUGGGGAGCUGAGGUUGGGCAACAGCUGGGGCAGGGUGCAGCGCAGAGCAGCCGGGGGCGGCCCUGGGCAUGCAAACGGGCACAGAGGGCGGCACCCUGCUCACCACUUUCGGCAGGUAUAUCCACACCUCGCCAGACGUGUGCGCUGUUUGCCAGCCUUGUGUGCUGUAAAGGGGAGAGCAUCACUGAAGCUGCAUAGGGAUUUUAUCAUCUUUUGGUAUUAUUAGUGUUUUAGAAGAUAUUUGAUCACUUCUAUAACGAAGACACCAACAUUUUCUGAGUGCAGCAGCCUGUUCAGCGCUAGUGCCUGCACAAGUGAUUAUCAGUGUGCAGUCCUAAUAACUUCUAAUAAUCACCGCUUUAAUCACAAGGCUAAUACAUGGUAAUACCCAUCACAAUCACAGAGAAUUCCAAAAAUCAUCUCCUUCCUAAAAUGGGAACAUUUCUCAUGUUGGAGGUACUGAGGCUUUACCUUCAGUAACUUCUGAGGUUUCUUUAACGUGUUUUGAUGAAGAAAUAACUCAAAAGAUCUGUGCACUUGUGCAAACAAAAAGGGAAAAAAAUCCUUUUGGAAAUUACAAGAGUGAGCAGCUGUUAAGUUCAUUCGUUUUUUCCUCAUGUUGAAGGACAGGUUCAGGCCAUAAAAUGCUAACUCUUCAGGAGCAUCUCAAGCAGCUGUCCAUUGUUAAGGACAGGCCUUAAUCGUACUCCUUUUUCCUACCUUUUUAAAUGAUGCCUCUGUCCAGGGAAGCAACUGCAGACUUUAGAACAUCAGUAAAUUUGCCUACAUAAAUGAAGUAUUUGCUUGGGAGCAAUAUUGAACAGAUCAUAUUUUAACAGUCUGUAACAAAUAAAGUAAAAGGUUAUGCCCUGUAUUUGUUUGAA